Molecule: unclassified non-coding RNA, 403 nt
Filed under: soil metagenome
Description: partial contains 5.8S ribosomal RNA, internal transcribed spacer 2, and large subunit ribosomal RNA
Rfam family: 5.8S ribosomal RNA (bases 1-120)
Source: RNAcentral
GAUGAAGAACGUAGCGAAAUGCGAUAAGUAAUGUGAAUUGCAGAAUUCAGUGAAUCAUCGAAUCUUUGAACGCACCUUGCGCCCUUUGGACUUCUGAAGGGCAUGCCUGUUUGAGUAUCAUGAACACCUCAACUCCUUAUGGUCUUCCAUGAUGAGCUUGGACUUUGGGGGUUUUGCUGGCCUACAGUCAGCUCCUCUAAAAUAAAUCAGCUUACCGGUGUUUGGUGGGUAUCAUGGGUGUGAUAACUAUCUACGCUCGUGGUUUUCCACCAGGUAACCUUCAGCAGUGGAGGUUCACUGGAGCUCAUAGAUGACUCUCCUCAGCGAGGACAGCCCUUUGAAUGUUUGAUCUCAAAUCAGGUAGGACUACCCGCUGAACUUAAGCAUAUCAAUAAGCGGAGGA